RNAcentral lists this ribosomal RNA (470 nucleotides) under uncultured bacterium. Its description in RNAcentral is "bacterial SSU rRNA". It matches the Rfam family "Bacterial small subunit ribosomal RNA", at positions 335 to 800 of the family's 1533-position model. The record is from RNAcentral.
ACUCCUACGGGAGGCAGCAGUGAGGAAUAUUGGUCAAUGGACGGAAGUCUGAACCAGCCAAGUAGCGUGCAGGAUGACGGCCCUAUGGGUUGUAAACUGCUUUUGUAUGGGGAUAAAGUUAGGGACGUGUCCCUAUUUGCAGGUACCAUACGAAUAAGGACCGGCUAAUUCCGUGCCAGCAGCCGCGGUAAUACGGAAGGUCCAGGCGUUAUCCGGAUUUAUUGGGUUUAAAGGGAGCGUAGGCUGGAGAUUAAGUGUGUUGUGAAAUGUAGACGCUCAACGUCUGAAUUGCAGCGCAUACUGGUUUCCUUGAGUACGCACAACGUUGGCGGAAUUCGUCGUGUAGCGGUGAAAUGCUUAGAUAUGACGAAGAACUCCGAUUGCGAAGGCAGCUGACGGGAGCGCAACUGACGCUUAAAGCUCGAAGGUGCGGGUAUCAAACAGGAUUAGAUACCCUGGUAGGAUAGCGU